Molecule: ribosomal RNA, 1376 nt
Filed under: uncultured bacterium
Lineage: Bacteria
Description: bacterial SSU rRNA
Rfam family: Bacterial small subunit ribosomal RNA
Source: RNAcentral
GAGUUUGACCCUGGCUCAUGUCGAACGCUGGCGGCGUGCUUAGCACAUGCAAGUCGAACGGUAAGGCCCCAGCUUGCUGGCGUAACGAGUUGCGAACGGGUGAGGAACAGGUGGGUGACCUGCCCCGCACUUCGGGAUAAGCCUGGGAAACUGGGUCUAAUACCGGAUAGGACCGCACCGUGAGGGUGUGGUGGAAAGUUUUUCGGUGUGGGAUGGGCCCGUGGCCUAUCAGCUUGUUGGUGGGGUAAUGGCCUACCAAGGCGGCGACGGGUAGCCGGCCUGAGAGGGUGGACGGCCACAUUGGGACUGAGACACUGUUCAGACUCCUACGGGAGGCAGCAGUGGGGAAUAUUGCACAAUGGGCGGAAGCCUGAUGCAGCGACGCCGCGUGGGGGAUGACGGCCUUCGGGUUGUAAACUCCUUUCACCAUCGACGAAGGUUUUCUGACGGUAGAUGGAGAAGAAGCACCGGCUAACUACGUGCCAGCAGCCGCGGUAAUACGUAGGGUGCGAGCGUUGUCCGGAAUUACUGGGCGUAAAGAGCUCGUAGGUGGUCUGUCGCGUCGUCUGUGAAAUUCCGGGGCAUUACUCCGGGCGUGCAGGCGAUACGGGCAUAACUUGAGUACUGUAGGGGAGACUGGGAUUCCCUGGUGUAGCGGUGAAAUGCGCAGAUAUCAGGAGGAACACCGGUGGCGAAGGCGGGUCUCUGGGCAGUAACUGACGCUGAGGAGCGAAAGCAUGGGUAGCGAACAGGAUUAGAUACCCUGGUAGUCCAUGCCGUAAACGGUGGGCGCUAGGUGUAGGGGUCUUCCACGACUUCUGUGCCGUAGCUAACGCAUUAAGCGCCCCGCCUGGGGAGUACGGCCGCAAGGCUAAAACUCAAAGGAAUUGACGGGGGCCCGCACAAGCGGCGGAGCAUGUGGAUUAAUUCGAUGCAACGCGAAGAACCUUACCUGGGCUUGACAUAUACGGGACCGGGCCAGAGAUGGUCCUUCCCUUGUGGCUCGUAUACAGGUGGUGCAUGGUUGUCGUCAGCUCGUGUCGUGAGAUGUUGGGUUAAGUCCCGCAACGAGCGCAACCCUUGUCUUAUGUUGCCAGCACGUAAUGGUGGGGACUCGUGAGAAACUGCCGGGGUCAACUCGGAGGAAGGUGGGGAUGACGUCAAAUCAUCAUGCCCCUUAUGUCCAGGGCUUCACACAUGCUACAAUGGUCGGUACAGUGGGUUGCGAUGCCGUGAGGUGGAGCUAAUCCCUGAAAGCCGGUCUCAGUUCGGAUCGGGGUCUGCAACUCGACCCCGUGAAGUCGGAGUCGCUAGUAAUCGCAGAUCAGCAACGCUGCGGUGAAUACGUUCCGCGGGCCUUGUACACACCGCCCGUC